RNAcentral lists this ribosomal RNA (2630 nucleotides) under Escherichia coli. RNAcentral describes it as "bacterial LSU rRNA". It matches the Rfam family "Bacterial large subunit ribosomal RNA", at positions 312 to 2925 of the family's 2925-position model. Lineage: Bacteria; Pseudomonadati; Pseudomonadota; Gammaproteobacteria; Enterobacterales; Enterobacteriaceae. The record is from RNAcentral.
CUGAAUCAGUGUGUGUGUUAGUGGAAGCGUCUGGAAAGGCGCGCGAUACAGGGUGACAGCCCCGUACACAAAAAUGCACAUGCUGUGAGCUCGAUGAGUAGGGCGGGACACGUGGUAUCCUGUCUGAAUAUGGGGGGACCAUCCUCCAAGGCUAAAUACUCCUGACUGACCGAUAGUGAACCAGUACCGUGAGGGAAAGGCGAAAAGAACCCCGGCGAGGGGAGUGAAAAAGAACCUGAAACCGUGUACGUACAAGCAGUGGGAGCACGCUUAGGCGUGUGACUGCGUACCUUUUGUAUAAUGGGUCAGCGACUUAUAUUCUGUAGCAAGGUUAACCGAAUAGGGGAGCCGAAGGGAAACCGAGUCUUAACUGGGCGUUAAGUUGCAGGGUAUAGACCCGAAACCCGGUGAUCUAGCCAUGGGCAGGUUGAAGGUUGGGUAACACUAACUGGAGGACCGAACCGACUAAUGUUGAAAAAUUAGCGGAUGACUUGUGGCUGGGGGUGAAAGGCCAAUCAAACCGGGAGAUAGCUGGUUCUCCCCGAAAGCUAUUUAGGUAGCGCCUCGUGAAUUCAUCUCCGGGGGUAGAGCACUGUUUCGGCAAGGGGGUCAUCCCGACUUACCAACCCGAUGCAAACUGCGAAUACCGGAGAAUGUUAUCACGGGAGACACACGGCGGGUGCUAACGUCCGUCGUGAAGAGGGAAACAACCCAGACCGCCAGCUAAGGUCCCAAAGUCAUGGUUAAGUGGGAAACGAUGUGGGAAGGCCCAGACAGCCAGGAUGUUGGCUUAGAAGCAGCCAUCAUUUAAAGAAAGCGUAAUAGCUCACUGGUCGAGUCGGCCUGCGCGGAAGAUGUAACGGGGCUAAACCAUGCACCGAAGCUGCGGCAGCGACGCUUAUGCGUUGUUGGGUAGGGGAGCGUUCUGUAAGCCUGUGAAGGUGUGCUGUGAGGCAUGCUGGAGGUAUCAGAAGUGCGAAUGCUGACAUAAGUAACGAUAAAGCGGGUGAAAAGCCCGCUCGCCGGAAGACCAAGGGUUCCUGUCCAACGUUAAUCGGGGCAGGGUGAGUCGACCCCUAAGGCGAGGCCGAAAGGCGUAGUCGAUGGGAAACAGGUUAAUAUUCCUGUACUUGGUGUUACUGCGAAGGGGGGACGGAGAAGGCUAUGUUGGCCGGGCGACGGUUGUCCCGGUUUAAGCGUGUAGGCUGGUUUUCCAGGCAAAUCCGGAAAAUCAAGGCUGAGGCGUGAUGACGAGGCACUACGGUGCUGAAGCAACAAAUGCCCUGCUUCCAGGAAAAGCCUCUAAGCAUCAGGUAACAUCAAAUCGUACCCCAAACCGACACAGGUGGUCAGGUAGAGAAUACCAAGGCGCUUGAGAGAACUCGGGUGAAGGAACUAGGCAAAAUGGUGCCGUAACUUCGGGAGAAGGCACGCUGAUAUGUAGGUGAAGUCCCUUGCGGAUGGAGCUGAAAUCAGUCGAAGAUACCAGCUGGCUGCAACUGUUUAUUAAAAACACAGCACUGUGCAAACACGAAAGUGGACGUAUACGGUGUGACGCCUGCCCGGUGCCGGAAGGUUAAUUGAUGGGGUCAGCGCAAGCGAAGCUCUUGAUCGAAGCCCCGGUAAACGGCGGCCGUAACUAUAACGGUCCUAAGGUAGCGAAAUUCCUUGUCGGGUAAGUUCCGACCUGCACGAAUGGCGUAAUGAUGGCCAGGCUGUCUCCACCCGAGACUCAGUGAAAUUGAACUCGCUGUGAAGAUGCAGUGUACCCGCGGCAAGACGGAAAGACCCCGUGAACCUUUACUAUAGCUUGACACUGAACAUUGAGCCUUGAUGUGUAGGAUAGGUGGGAGGCUUUGAAGUGUGGACGCCAGUCUGCAUGGAGCCGACCUUGAAAUACCACCCUUUAAUGUUUGAUGUUCUAACGUUGGCCCCUAAUCGGGGUUGCGGACAGUGUCUGGUGGGUAGUUUGACUGGGGCGGUCUCCUCCUAAAGAGUAACGGAGGAGCACGAAGGUUGGCUAAUCCUGGUCGGACAUCAGGAGGUUAGUGCAAUGGCAUAAGCCAGCUUGACUGCGAGCGUGACGGCGCGAGCAGGUGCGAAAGCAGGUCAUAGUGAUCCGGUGGUUCUGAAUGGAAGGGCCAUCGCUCAACGGAUAAAAGGUACUCCGGGGAUAACAGGCUGAUACCGCCCAAGAGUUCAUAUCGACGGCGGUGUUUGGCACCUCGAUGUCGGCUCAUCACAUCCUGGGGCUGAAGUAGGUCCCAAGGGUAUGGCUGUUCGCCAUUUAAAGUGGUACGCGAGCUGGGUUUAGAACGUCGUGAGACAGUUCGGUCCCUAUCUGCCGUGGGCGCUGGAGAACUGAGGGGGGCUGCUCCUAGUACGAGAGGACCGGAGUGGACGCAUCACUGGUGUUCGGGUUGUCAUGCCAAUGGCACUGCCCGGUAGCUAAAUGCGGAAGAGAUAAGUGCUGAAAGCAUCUAAGCACGAAACUUGCCCCGAGAUGAGUUCUCCCUGACUCCUUGAGAGUCCUGAAGGAACGUUGAAGACGACGACGUUGAUAGGCCGGGUGUGUAAGCGCAGCGAUGCGUUGAGCUAACCGGUACUAAUGAACCGUGAGGCUUAACCUU